RNAcentral lists this ribosomal RNA (493 nucleotides) under Mycolicibacterium neoaurum. RNAcentral's name for it is "bacterial SSU rRNA". It matches the Rfam family "Bacterial small subunit ribosomal RNA", at positions 120 to 627 of the family's 1533-position model. The record is from RNAcentral. Lineage: Bacteria; Bacillati; Actinomycetota; Actinomycetes; Mycobacteriales; Mycobacteriaceae.
GGUGAUCUGCCCUGCACUUUGGGAUAAGCCUGGGAAACUGGGUCUAAUACCGAAUAUGAUCAUCGGCUUCAUGGUCGGUGGUGGAAAGCUUUUGCGGUGUGGGAUGGGCCCGCGGCCUAUCAGCUUGUUGGUGGGGUAAUGGCCUACCAAGGCGACGACGGGUAGCCGGCCUGAGAGGGUGACCGGCCACACUGGGACUGAGAUACGGCCCAGACUCCUACGGGAGGCAGCAGUGGGGAAUAUUGCACAAUGGGCGCAAGCCUGAUGCAGCGACGCCGCGUGAGGGAUGACGGCCUUCGGGUUGUAAACCUCUUUCAGCACAGACGAAGCGCAAGUGACGGUAUGUGCAGAAGAAGGACCGGCCAACUACGUGCCAGCAGCCGCGGUAAUACGUAGGGUCCGAGCGUUGUCCGGAAUUACUGGGCGUAAAGAGCUCGUAGGUGGUUUGUCGCGUUGUUCGUGAAAACUCACAGCUUAACUGUGGGCGUGCGGG